UACGGAGGAGGCAAGCGUUAUCCGGAAUUAUUGGGCGUAAAGCGUCCGUAGGUGGUUGACCAAGUCUUCUGUCAAAGCGUGGAGCUUAACUCCAUAAUGGCAGGAGAAACUGGUGAGCUAGAGUGCGAUAGGGGCAAGGGGAAUUCCCAGUGUAGCGGUGAAAUGCGUAGAUAUUGGGAAGAACACCGGUGGCGAAAGCGCCUUGCUGGGUCUGCACUGACACUGAGGGACGAAAGCUAGGGGAGCGAAA
Molecule: ribosomal RNA, 250 nt
Filed under: uncultured bacterium
Lineage: Bacteria
Description: partial 16S ribosomal RNA
Rfam family: Bacterial small subunit ribosomal RNA
Source: RNAcentral